CUUUGAUGGGCAUUCCAACCAGGAACAAAGUAAAAGAUAAUCAUUACGAAAAAAAACUCUUCCUGUUCACUUCUUAAAACCCAAAAACACACUGCAGUAGCACCCUAAACUAAAACUACCAGUGAGUUCCCUGUUUUCCUUUCUGAACAAUUCAAAGGUUCCUCUCUAUCUCCCCACACAUCCACCAACCACUGGAACACAUCUCCAAAGUUCUGCCGGGCCAGCUCAGCUUCCCCUCAGAAGAAGUGCCGCCACCUGCCAGAUGAAGGAGCCUUUUGAGAGGCAGCUGGUAUCGUGAUUGGACUGUACUUUGGUCUGUUCCAAUCCAGCUUCAGCUCCAGAGACGGCAGGCGGGACGAGUCAACGGAGGCCUGGUGGACGAAGGCAUGCAGCUGAGUACAAUCCAGAAAACAACAGAGGAGUGCAGCAGCCCAGAACCAGAACAAGCAGAACCAAAGAACUACAGACUCUUCACAACCUGCUCAAACUCUUGGUACAGGACCUCACCACACGGGUCAAGAAGGUUUCUGUCUCAUUUCUACUCUGAAGCUCACCUUCUCCUGCUCAAACUGCUGACAAAUGUUUCUGCUGCUCUAAAGUCUGGUCUCCAGAACUUCCUAAAAACUCUCAAAGUCUCUUCUGCUGCAGGUUGCUUUGUAGAACUGUUCCAGAAAACCUCACUAAACCACAUGGAGGGGCCUCAAGAUAGUCCAAAUGAAACCAUACAAAAACCAAACUAGCACAAUCCAAACGCUAAAGUCUCCUGCAGCCUACCAGAGAACCUCUGAGAACAGAGAAUCAGGACAGGAACUCUUACCUUCUGGACAACCAAUGUGGGUUCACAAACAAGAAUACAGAAUGUGUCUGACCAAAAACCUCUGAAGACUCACUACAGCCAAGAUAAAGACACAACUCAGCUGCACCAAAUCCACUAAUCACUGCACACAUUAGCACCAUGUGCUAACUGUGGCUAAAGAACCUCAUUUACCAAGACAACUAUCCAGUACAAAGCCCUAAAACACACCAAGAAACACAUUAAAGACGAUUUUACUGCUGGAAGCUGCAAGCCAACGCCUAAAGAACACACUAAAGCAAUGGAGCCAAACCCGAUUCAGUGGUGAAGAGAAGCAGAGGAAAUGUUUGACUGGAGCUAAAUAAAGCAGGAAGACACUGAGCUGCUCAGGUGUUCCUGAUAACACCAAGCAGCCACCUGGACAGCCAAUAGGAACACAGCUUACUGGAAGUCCAGAGGGCUGGGUUAGUGAAGGAAAUUUAGUUUAAAGUUGAGGCAGAAAGUUGACAAAGAAAGUUGAAAAUCACCUUCUGAUACCUGAAAUCUCUGAGUUUUCACACAAAGAACACCUGAACAUGUCAAACUGGUUCCACAGUAGAACCAUCAUUGUAAAAACUUCAUAGUAUGGUGUGUUGUUCAAAAAACAUUACGACCCGGCUGUCUAGGGUCGCCGAGGAGCAACACAAAAACAGGACAAACGCUGGUUUCCAGGGGGUUAGGCGGCUAUUUAUUUGAAAGAAUACGUUUACAACAACACAACAUGUGAGCAGAAAAAUCACAAAGUCUGUCUUUAGUUCAGCUGAAAAUAUUAGUUUUUGUCUUUUUUAUUGACCAAACUUUUCAGGAAGUAGAUGAAGAAUAAUUAAAGCUCUCAUGUGGAAGUCCAACUUAUUUUGGAUCCUUGUGGAGAGUUUAGAGUUUGUAAAGCUGUUGAGUUUUUAGAGUCACAUGGAUUGUUUUGACAUUUAAUAACCGAGUCCUGAAAUAAAAUUACAGUUGUGGAUUUCUGUCAUUUAGUCUGGACUAAACAAAUAACAGCAGCAUAAAUCUCAAACAUCAUUAUGAGGAGUCUGGAUUGAGGUUUCUCACUUGAUAAUGAUCAAAACAUGAAACUUAAGUUGAUUUAAAGAAUAUUCCACCUUAAAUCUUUGAAUGCUGACCUAAAAGGUUGGUUUCAGGAAGUAUUCCAC
This is a long non-coding RNA of Amphiprion ocellaris (clown anemonefish), 1983 nucleotides long. The record is from Ensembl. NCBI's taxonomy places the organism in Eukaryota, Metazoa, Chordata, Actinopteri, Pomacentridae.